This 331-nucleotide unclassified non-coding RNA is filed under the name soil metagenome. RNAcentral describes it as "partial contains 5.8S ribosomal RNA, internal transcribed spacer 2, and large subunit ribosomal RNA". The stretch from base 1 to 120 matches the Rfam family "5.8S ribosomal RNA", at positions 35 to 154 of the family's 154-position model. The record is from RNAcentral.
GAUGAAGAACGCAGCGAAAUGCGAUAAGUAAUGUGAAUUGCAGAAUUCAGUGAAUCAUCGAAUCUUUGAACGCACAUUGCGCCCCCUGGUAUUCCGGGGGGCAUGCCUGUUCGAGCGUUAUUUCACCACUCAAGCCUCGCUUGGUAUUGGGCAACGCGGUCCGCCGCGUGCCUCAAAUCGACCGGCUGGGUCUUCUGUCCCCUAAGCGUUGUGGAAACUAUUCGCUAAAGGGUGUUCGGGAGGCUACGCCGUAAAACAACCCCAUUUCUAAGGUUGACCUCGGAUCAGGUAGGGAUACCCGCUGAACUUAAGCAUAUCAAUAAGCGGAGGA